RNAcentral lists this long non-coding RNA (811 nucleotides) under Chinchilla lanigera (long-tailed chinchilla). Its description in RNAcentral is "lncRNA (ENSCLAG00000028315.1)". Lineage: Eukaryota; Metazoa; Chordata; Mammalia; Rodentia; Chinchillidae. The record is from RNAcentral.
UGAUUUCAUUACAAUAACUAUGUGAAACUGCUAUCAAUCAGAAAUAUAUACUGCAUUUUCAACAUGGGUUUAGUUCUAACCCACAAAAUAAUGGCUUAGUAAUGCACUGAUUCAUGGGCAAUUUAUUGAAUUUAAGGAAAUGAGAUUUAGUUCAUGCUUGAAGGAUUCCCUUGUACACGUCAUGUGCUAAGUCUAGGAAGUACAGACUGAAGACAUUUUUGUAAAUGAGAUGAUGACACUCAGUGACACACCUAUUAGCAGGCAGUAGACAGGAGUACUGGGAGGAACUAAAAUUCAAAGCACGCAACCAAUUAGGUUAUGCAUAUGGCACUUUAUGAACUAUUCAGGAAGUGAUUGCAAAAUCACCUGCGUGGAUAUAUAGCUCCACUGCUGGUUUUUCUAGCCAGGAAGAAUGUCUGAACUCCCUGCACACUGACCUCUCUACAUCAGUCUAGUGAGCAGAGUCUUUCAGCUGACUUCUUCAUCUAUUUGGACCAUGAUGUGGAUGCGAUCACUUCUUGCGUGUUUUAUUUUUCAUCUGUCUCUUUCUCAGUCUCCAAAUGUGCAGUAUGUUCUGCUGGUCCCUUCUGUUCUGCAAGAAAGCUCUAUGGAUAAAGUUUGUGCCCAGCUUUCCAAUCUGACCGAAUCUGUUGUUCUGACUGUCUCCCUCAACUAUGGUGAGGUCUUGACCAAAAUAUUUGAAGAGGAUGUUACAGGAGAAAAUUUCUUCAAGUGUACCAAUUUUGAGGUAAAUUUUUUACUCUACUUACUUUAGAAAAGAAUCCUGCAGGGACAGGAAAGCCACCCACAU